RNAcentral lists this ribosomal RNA (433 nucleotides) under uncultured bacterium. Its description in RNAcentral is "partial 16S ribosomal RNA". It matches the Rfam family "Bacterial small subunit ribosomal RNA", at positions 29 to 507 of the family's 1533-position model. The record is from RNAcentral.
AGCGAACGCUGGCGGCAGGCCUAACACAUGCAAGUCGAACGGAUCCUUCGGGAUUAGUGGCGGACGGGUGAGUAACACGUGGGAACGUGCCCUUUGGUUCGGAACAACUCAGGGAAACUUGAGCUAAUACCGGAUGUGCCCUUCGGGGGAAAGAUUUAUCGCCAUUGGAGCGGCCCGCGUCUGAUUAGCUAGUCGGUGAGGUAACGGCCCACCAAGGCGACGAUCAGUAGCUGGUCUGAGAGGAUGAUCAGCCACACUGGGACUGAGACACGGCCCAGACUCCUACGGGAGGCAGCAGUGGGGAAUCUUGCGCAAUGGGCGAAAGCCUGACGCAGCCAUGCCGCGUGAAUGAUGAAGGUCUUAGGAUUGUAAAAUUCUUUCAGCGGGGACGAUAAUGACGGUACCCGCAGAAGAAGCUCCGGCUAACUUCGUG